GCCAGCAUGGUGUAGUGCUUUGAGUGUUAGACUCUGACUCUGGAGGUCAGGGUUCGAAUCCCCGCUGAGCU
RNAcentral lists this transfer RNA (71 nucleotides) under Phrynosoma platyrhinos (Desert horned lizard). RNAcentral describes it as "tRNA-OTHER". The record is from RNAcentral. Lineage: Eukaryota; Metazoa; Chordata; Lepidosauria; Squamata; Phrynosomatidae.